This 265-nucleotide long non-coding RNA is filed under the name Lathyrus oleraceus (garden pea). RNAcentral describes it as "Pisum sativum (pea) long non-coding RNA (PSAT_LNC013300)". The record is from RNAcentral. Lineage: Eukaryota; Viridiplantae; Streptophyta; Magnoliopsida; Fabales; Fabaceae.
UACUUCGGAGUGUGCAGGAUACUUGUGUCGGUUAAGCUGUGUACGUUGCGUCCAAUCUUUUACUUUCAGCAGUGUCACUUUCUGGGGAGAUCCUCACAACAAGUCAUGGUGAGUCGUGUGAUCAUUCAUCCACUCUCACUUGUGAUCAUUACUUUUCCAACCUGUCAACACAAACUUGACACACACACUUGCAGCAUAAUGUACAUUCAACAGACAAAUUCAAUACAAAAUAAAAAAGUAAAAAUAACACAAAUAAAUUGCAAAU